UUUUGUCCUUAUACCUGAAGACGCCAAGCUUUUCAAAAGCCAUCAGAAGGCGCGGCCUGCCACCUGGACAAACGCGGUCUCCCCCAGAGCCCGGUUGCGCCCCGAAGCCGGGUUCCGUCCCAUCUCCGACAAAGACACUUCCUGAUUUGCCCCUCGCCAGACUCCAGCAAUUUUCUGGGUCCCCGGGAAGCUGAUUUCGCCUCUGGGCUUCCAUGAUUAGUGGCAGCUGGAGCGCUGCUCCCCAACCUGGGCCCACUUUAGGGUGUGUG
RNAcentral lists this long non-coding RNA (269 nucleotides) under Homo sapiens (human). RNAcentral's name for it is "non-protein coding lnc-CDX2-1:1". The record is from RNAcentral. Lineage: Eukaryota; Metazoa; Chordata; Mammalia; Primates; Hominidae.